This is a long non-coding RNA of Triticum aestivum (bread wheat), 318 nucleotides long. RefSeq lists it as uncharacterized. The record is from RefSeq and is a predicted model, not a curated record. The transcript is spliced from 2 exons. Lineage: Eukaryota; Viridiplantae; Streptophyta; Magnoliopsida; Poales; Poaceae.
CUCAGUGCGAAGGAGAGACGGACCCAUGGCUCGACACAAGCAACAACAGGAAACCGUACCAAACUGCGGAUGAAUGAAACAAAGGCAAACAUGCGAAAUUAGCAUGACAAAUUAAUCCAAAGCAGCGGCGAAGAACAUGCGAACCAGAGAAGAGUCCCAUCGGAACAGAGCAUGGGGUUGCCGCAUCUUGGCCACCAUGCUGAACGAAAUGGAUAAUUGACUGUAAUGUGUAUGAUGAAACAUUCAGAAAAUUCUCACAACUUCCAUCAAUUUGGACACAACUUCAGAAAUCUUUGCAACCCUUUUAGAAAAUUCUCA